This is a long non-coding RNA of Chelonia mydas (Green sea turtle), 1466 nucleotides long. RefSeq lists it as uncharacterized. The transcript is spliced from 3 exons. Lineage: Eukaryota; Metazoa; Chordata; Testudines; Cheloniidae. The record is from RefSeq and is a predicted model, not a curated record.
UUAUAUCCCUUGUUGGAGGAAGCACUAGACGAGGAUGAAAGGGACAUGCCAAUCAGUCCUCCCUUUCUGAGGCAUCGCCUGCGUGCUAAACAAAUACAAACAGACGAUGUUAGAACUCAAGGACAUUUCUUUCUUCCUCUCUAACUCUGGUUUUCACACCCACAAAGGAGAUAGAUAUUGAUUGUUAAGAGAAAGGGGCACUAGAGGGUCUUUGUGCAGCCCAGAGUGCGAGAGCUGGGGCAGCUUUAGAAGAAAAUAAAAAAUGCAACUAGGAUCACAAACAUCGGCGAGGGCUCCACUUCAAAACUAACUUUUUGUAAACUUGGUGUUUAAAAGAAGGGAGGAGGGGAGGCAAACAGUGCUAAUCUGCCAAGCCCCUUCUGUCCCGCCAGAGUAGCAGGAAGGAAAAGCCAAACAUGGGUCUUCAAAUGAAAUCGCUGGGUUUUUUUGUUUUGUUUUUUUGUUUGUUUUGUUUUUUUAAUUUCUGUUUCCCUCCCUCUCCUACUUCCACACAACUGGCGGUUCACCCCUUUAAGAGCUCCAAGUGGCCUUCCAAAAAGAAAGCCCUUCAAGGAAAAACGGGCACACAUUCCCAUUCCAGGCACCUUGCCAAAAUCUUCCAAGCACCCUACCUGGCAUACUAGCUUAAGUUUCUUGAAGAAGUGGGGGAAAUUACAGUCGACUUGUAGUAGUUGAGACAAGUUCAGUGCUCAGCUCCCCCCCUCGAACGAGACUCGGGAUCUCUGUGGAAGGCGCCCAGUUGCGAGCCAGCCAGGCUGGAGGUUUGAGACACAGCACAGCAAUGACUCCCCUCCCUUGUGCAAAGGAUUUGCCUUCCCCCCCCAGCCUUCACACUCUAGCCAGCAUAGAUGCCCAGGUGCAAGGUGAAGCAGUAACCGUAGAUGGAAUGGAAAGUAUUGGACUGAGAUCUUAAUUUCCUCUCUACAACUGGAGGAAGAAUCUUUCAGUAUGUAAUCAAUUGCAGACACAGAAAAAUUAUGUGUGCAACAGAAUAAAGACAACCAUGUCAGAGAACGUUGACUUCAUCAGGCAAGACCCCACUAUAUUUUUGAAUGUUCCAGUACAGUACUACACAUAUAUGGAGUAUAUCUGGUACAAUAAGUGAGUAACUGGUUGGUUCGAAAUGAAAAGCCCCUUCAAGGCAGUGUCUGUUGGGCUGCAGUUAAAUGUGACAUUUGUUUUAAAAAACAACAAAACAAGAUAAAAGCAUAAGCUCUGGUGUUGACUCAAUUAGAUGUAUGACUCUGGAGACAUACAAAAAUUAUAGCUUCUCUACCAAAACCAAAUAUGGAAGUUUUCCCUUGUAUAGAUUUUCUGCCAGUUGUUCAAAGCAAGUUACUUUUCUCCAAGAGAACCUGCUUCAGUACAAAAAAAAAAAAAAGCACAACCUACUGCACACCCCUAGAAAUCACCUAUCAUCUGAUACUUGAACCCAUAUGGGGCAU